RNAcentral lists this ribosomal RNA (484 nucleotides) under uncultured bacterium. RNAcentral describes it as "partial 16S ribosomal RNA". It matches the Rfam family "Bacterial small subunit ribosomal RNA", at positions 30 to 507 of the family's 1533-position model. The record is from RNAcentral.
AUUGAACGCUGGCGGCAGGCCUAACACAUGCAAGUCGAGCGGAUGAAGGGAGCUUGCUCCUGGAUUCAGCGGCGGACGGGUGAGUAAUUCCUAUGAAUCUGCCUGGUAGUGGGGGAUAACGUCCGGAAACGGGCGCUAAUACCGCAUACGUCCUGAGGGAGAAAGUGGGGGAUCUUCGGACCUCACGCUAUCAGAUGAGCCUAGGUCGGAUUAGCUAGUUGGUGGGGUAAAGGCCUACCAAGGCGACGAUCCGUAACUGGUCUGAGAGGAUGAUCAGUCACACUGGAACUGAGACACGGUCCAGACUCCUACGGGAGGCAGCAGUGGGGAAUAUUGGACAAUGGGCGAAAGCCUGAUCCAGCCAUGCCGCGUGUGUGAAGAAGGUCUUCGGAUUGUAAAGCACUUUAAGUUGGGAGGAAGGGCAGUAAGUUAAUACCUUGCUGUUUUGACGUUACCAACAGAAUAAGCACCGGCUAACUUCGUG